Molecule: long non-coding RNA, 1095 nt
Organism: Neofelis nebulosa (Clouded leopard)
Lineage: Eukaryota; Metazoa; Chordata; Mammalia; Carnivora; Felidae
Exons: 5
Source: RefSeq, a predicted model, not a curated record
GAGCAAUCUUAUAGUACGAUCAAGUGUUAUCUGGAAGUUGAAUAUUAGUGUGCUUCAGUGUCAUCAUCCAUAGUCAUUCUGAGGAGGGAUGAGAGAUGAAUAACAUGCAUUUAAAACUGUGCUCAGUCAGACUGGGUCCCUGGUUGGUCACCAGCUGAGCUCCCACUUGGCAACCAGCUCCAACUCCUCAUGUGCCUGGGUUCUGCAGAAGACAGGCUCAUUGAAGAUUUCGCUGGGGAGUGUGAGCUCCAGGAAAGAAGGAAUGUUGUGCAACUGAGUUGCCUGCAGCAAUUAUCUGCAAUCACUGAUUCCGGGUGGCAGGAUCAUGCCGGACCCCCUGAGGAGCCAUAUGCAAUGAAUCUGAAGACUGGUCAUCGGGGGAAGAAAGUGGAAGGAUUGCCUGCCAAGUUCUGUUCCCUGUAGGCCAUAGGUUUGCCUGUAAGAUGCUCACUCUCACAUCUUCCAGGUUGGAGAUUUGUGGGCACCAAGUGGGUUCCCGAGGCAUCCCGCUCUGUGUCCACAGAGAGGCGCUGGUGCGGGCAGUGAAGAGCCUUGAGGUAUAAGUGGGAAUGACAGGAGCUGUUGAGCUGAAAGAAAACAACACAAAGUUCCAGUUGAAGAUCUAUCAACACACCUCACUUCUGAACGCCAUUGCAUGGUGGUUCCUCGCACGGCACCUAUUCUCUCUGAGAUCCUAUCCACAGCCUGGAUGUCUGUAUGAUUCCCAUCUUGAAAUUACCAUGUCAGCUUCUCUUCUGAACCGAGGGUCCAUUUACUUUAUUACCUUUAAGAAUCUUCCCAUAGGAACCUGAAAUAUAACUUGCAAUAUAACCCGCGACGGAAAUCAACACUGAAAUCUUGCCCUCUUGCCUGUCUAGCAGCAGUUGUGAUGUGAUUCCCUCUCCUUUCUGCCAUGACUUCUUCACCUGUAACCUUCUGGGAGGAAGAGAAAACUUGGACACACACAGAGACACCAGGGAUGGGCACGGAGGAAAGACCAAGUGAGGACACGGAAAGAAGGAGGCCAUUUGUAAGCUGAGGAGAGAGGUCUCAGGGGAAAACAGAGCUACCAGCACCUUGACCUUUGGCUUCGAG